RNAcentral lists this ribosomal RNA (642 nucleotides) under Salmonella enterica subsp. enterica serovar Newport. RNAcentral describes it as "partial 23S ribosomal RNA". It matches the Rfam family "Bacterial large subunit ribosomal RNA", at positions 911 to 1554 of the family's 2925-position model. Lineage: Bacteria; Pseudomonadati; Pseudomonadota; Gammaproteobacteria; Enterobacterales; Enterobacteriaceae. The record is from RNAcentral.
UGUUUCGGCUAGGGGGCCAUCCCGGCUUACCAACCCGAUGCAAACUGCGAAUACCGGAGAAUGUUAUCACGGGAGACACACGGCGGGUGCUAACGUCCGUCGUGAAGAGGGAAACAACCCAGACCGCCAGCUAAGGUCCCAAAGUCAUGGUUAAGUGGGAAACGAUGUGGGAAGGCCCAGACAGCCAGGAUGUUGGCUUAGAAGCAGCCAUCAUUUAAAGAAAGCGUAAUAGCUCACUGGUCGAGUCGGCCUGCGCGGAAGAUGUAACGGGGCUAAACCAUGCACCGAAGCUGCGGCAGCGACACUGUGUGUUGUUGGGUAGGGGAGCGUUCUGUAAGCCUGUGAAGGUGUGUCGUGAGGCAUGCUGGAGGUAUCAGAAGUGCGAAUGCUGACAUAAGUAACGAUAAAGCGGGUGAAAAGCCCGCUCGCCGGAAGACCAAGGGUUCCUGUCCAACGUUAAUCGGGGCAGGGUGAGUCGACCCCUAAGGCGAGGCCGAAAGGCGUAGUCGAUGGGAAACAGGUUAAUAUUCCUGUACUUGGUGUUACUGCGAAGGGGGGACGGAGAAGGCUAUGUUGGCCGGGCGACGGUUGUCCCGGUUUAAGCGUGUAGGCUGGUUUUCCAGGCAAAUCCGGAAAAUCAAG